RNAcentral lists this transfer RNA (71 nucleotides) under Loxodonta africana (African savanna elephant). It matches the Rfam family "tRNA". From Rfam's summary of the family: Transfer RNA (tRNA) molecules are approximately 80 nucleotides in length. Their secondary structure includes four short double-helical elements and three loops (D, anti-codon, and T loops). The record is from Rfam by way of RNAcentral. Lineage: Eukaryota; Metazoa; Chordata; Mammalia; Proboscidea; Elephantidae.
GCAUUGGUGGUUCAGUGGUGGAAUACUUGCUUUCCAUGCAGGGAACCUGGGUUCAAUUCCUGGCCAAUGCA